UUGCACGCUGGCGGCAUGCCUUACACCUGCAAGUCGAACGGCAGCACGGGUGCUUGCCCCUGGUGGCGAGUGGCGAACGGGUGAGUAAUACAUCGGAACAUGUCCUGUAGUGGGGGAUAGCCCGGCGAAAGCCGGAUUAAUACCGCAUACGAUCUACGGAUGAAAGCGGGGGACCUUCGGGCCUCGCGCUAUAGGGUUGGCCGAUGGCUGAUUAGCUAGUUGGUGGGGUAAAGGCCUACCAAGGCGACGAUCAGUAGCUGGUCUGAGAGGACGACCAGCCACACUGGGACUGAGACACGGCCCAGACUCCUACGGGAGGCAGCAGUGGGGAAUUUUGGACAAUGGGCGAAAGCCUGAUCCAGCAAUGCCGCGUGUGUGAAGAAGGCCUUCGGGUUGUAAAGCACUUUUGUCCGGAAAGAAAUCCUUGGCCCUAAUACGGUCGGGGGAUGACGGUACCGGAAGAAUAAGCACCGGCUAACUACGUG
This 485-nucleotide ribosomal RNA is filed under the name uncultured bacterium. Its description in RNAcentral is "partial 16S ribosomal RNA". It matches the Rfam family "Bacterial small subunit ribosomal RNA", at positions 30 to 507 of the family's 1533-position model. The record is from RNAcentral.